GAUGAACGCUGGCGGCGUGCCUAAUACAUGCAAGUCGAGCGAACAGACGAGGAGCUUGCUCCUCUGACGUUAGCGGCGGACGGGUGAGUAACACGUGGAUAACCUACCUAUAAGACUGGGAUAACUUCGGGAAACCGGAGCUAAUACCGGAUAAUAUAUUGAACCGCAUGGUUCAAUAGUGAAAGACGGUUUUGCUGUCACUUAUAGAUGGAUCCGCGCCGCAUUAGCUAGUUGGUAAGGUAACGGCUUACCAAGGCAACGAUGCGUAGCCGACCUGAGAGGGUGAUCGGCCACACUGGAACUGAGACACGGUCCAGACUCCUACGGGAGGCAGCAGUAGAGAAUCUUCCGCAAUGGGCGAAAGCCUGACGGAGCAACGCCGCGUGAGUGAUGAAGGUCUUCGGAUCGUAAAACUCUGUUAUUAGGGAAGAACAAAUGUGUAAGUAACUAUGCACGUCUUGACGGCACCUAAUCAGAAAGCCACGGCUAACUACGUG
RNAcentral lists this ribosomal RNA (497 nucleotides) under uncultured bacterium. RNAcentral describes it as "partial 16S ribosomal RNA". It matches the Rfam family "Bacterial small subunit ribosomal RNA", at positions 28 to 507 of the family's 1533-position model. The record is from RNAcentral.